CCAGACUCCUACGGGAGGCAGCAGUGAGGAAUAUUGGUCAAUGGACGAGAGUCUGAACCAGCCAAGUAGCGUGAAGGAUGACUGCCCUAUGGGUUGUAAACUUCUUUUAUAUGGGAAUAAAACAGGGUAUGCAUACCCUCUUGUAUGUACCAUAUGAAUAAGGAUCGGCUAACUCCGUGCCAGCAGCCGCGGUAAUACGGAGGAUCCGAGCGUUAUCCGGAUUUAUUGGGUUUAAAGGGAGCGUAGGUGGAUUGUUAAGUCAGCGGUCAAAUCGUGGGGCUCAACCCCAUCCAGCCGUUGAAACUGGGGAUCUAGAGUGUGCGAGAGGUAUGCGGAAUGCGUGGUGUAGCGGUGAAAUGCAUAGAUAUCACGCAGAACUCCGAUUGCGAAGGCAGCAUACCGGCGCGCAACUGACGCUCAUGCACGAAAGCGUGGGUAUCGAACAGGAUUAGAUACCCUAGUAAU
This 465-nucleotide ribosomal RNA is filed under the name uncultured bacterium. Its description in RNAcentral is "bacterial SSU rRNA". It matches the Rfam family "Bacterial small subunit ribosomal RNA", at positions 331 to 794 of the family's 1533-position model. The record is from RNAcentral.